UGGGGAAUUUUGCACAAUGGGGGAAACCCUGAUGCAGCGACGCCGCGUGAUUUAGAAGGCCUUCGGGUUGUAAAAAUCUUUUCUAUGGGAAGAAAAUGACAGUACCAUAGGAAUAAGGACCGGCUACUUACGUGCCAGCAGCCGCGGUAAUACGUAAGGUCGGAGCGUUGUCCGGAAUCAUUGGGCGUAAAGGGUACGUAGGCGGGUAAGCAAGUUAGAAGUGAAAUCCUAUAGCUCAACAAUAUUAAGCUUUUAAAACUGCUCGUCUGGAUGUAGGGAAGGAAAAGUGGAAUUCCUAGUGUAGCGGUGAAAUGCGCAGAUAUUAGGAGGAAUACCGGUGGCGAAGGCGACUUUCUGGCCAUAACCUGACGCUGGGUUACGAAAGCGUGGGUAGCAAGCAG
Molecule: ribosomal RNA, 401 nt
Filed under: bacterium
Lineage: Bacteria
Description: partial 16S ribosomal RNA
Rfam family: Bacterial small subunit ribosomal RNA
Source: RNAcentral